Molecule: ribosomal RNA, 511 nt
Filed under: uncultured bacterium
Lineage: Bacteria
Description: partial 16S ribosomal RNA
Rfam family: Bacterial small subunit ribosomal RNA
Source: RNAcentral
GACGAACGCUGGCGGCGUGCCUAAUACAUGCAAGUAGAACGCUGAAGGAGGAGCUUACUUCUCUGGACGAGUCGCGAACGGGUGAGUAACGCGUAGGUAACCUGCCUGGUAGCGGGGGAUAACUAUUGGAAACGAUAGCUAAUACCGCAUAAGAGUAGAUGUUGCAUGACAUUUACUUAAAAGGUGCAAUUGCACCACUACCAGAUGGACCUGCGUUGUAUUAGCUAGUUGGUGGGGUAACGGCUUACCAAGGCGACGAUACAUAGCCGACCUGAGAGGGUGAUCGGCCACACUGGGACUGAGACACGGCCCAGACUCCUACGGGAGGCAGCAGUAGGGAGUCUUCGGCAAUGGACGGAAGUCUGACCGAGCAACGCCGCGUGAGUGAAGAAGGUUUUCGGAUCGUAAAGCUCUGUUGUAAGAGAAGAACGAGUGUGAGAGUGGAAAGUUCACACUGUGACGGUAUCUUACCAGAAAGGGACGGCUAACUACGUGCCAGCAGCCGCCGUAA